UAUGGUUAUACUCUAUGUCCUUUUGUUCUGAGGAAAAGUUUCCUCCCACAGUUACUAACAUUUAAGCGGCAAGGCCCAUGGUUGCUAUACACUGUAUUUGAUCUGUAGGGCUAUAUAUAAACAGAAUUUCUUACACAAUUUUGCUUUGCAGCAAGGCCACAGCAUCAUUCAGGGCCUGCAUUCCAUCUGUUUCAGAUGAAGCCGAGUGGGGAACUGAAAGUCCCAGUUCCCUGGAAUAAGAGCCUCUAAAGAGCCUUGCUGUCGUGGCUCUGUUGGAGGACAACCAGUUUAGCUGCUUCACUGUGAAACUAGCUACACUGCUUACAUUAUAUAAGAUCAGGCCAAUCUCUUGUUUCUUUUGUGGUCCCAUCAGCCAUGGACUCACAUUCUAGGAGCGCUGACUUGUGGAAGUCACGUUCAUAGAUGACUGCAGCUUCCUGUGGAUGACAUUCAUGGAGAAAAAAAGAUGAGGAUGUCCCAGAGAUACCAUCUUCAGCAAUAUUUCUAGGAGUUCCAGAAAAGUGCACAUCAUUUCUGUGUUUCCUUGCAGGUGGAGAAGAAGUUGCUGGAGCUAGGCCUCAGAGGCCUUCUUCGGCAGUCUCCCACUUCAAAGCACCUCCUUUUUAUUUUGAAGUUCCACAGAGCUUUGAGUCACAUGGCUGGAGAUGUUUCUCCUCAGUCUUGAACCAGCUCCUCUACUGUGGAAAUCAUCAGCCUAGGAUCAAUAUAGAUUAUUAGAGUCCAUCAAGCAUUUCCGGAAGUUCUUGAGGAAGUCUGGGAUGCUGGAAAAACAUAUGGUUUCAUUAAUGAAGAUGACCUAGAAAUAAAGAGCUGUGAUCUUCUCACCCACCCACCCAGUAUUGAACAAGUUAAGCUGGUGGGGGAUCUAAAGCAAUAGGGAGAAUAGGGAGCUGGAUCAUCAGUUUGCCUGUUCAUUCAAGAUCAUUGGACCAUCCUCAGUCAUUUCAAGAAUGGACCUCUCUGCUAUUCAACUUCUUUUUCAAAGAUGGCACCGAGGCAAGAUGUGUUGUGGAACAGGUUCCAACAGUAGCCACUUUUAGUACGUUGCAGCAGACUGUGUAGCAGCUUCGGAUAGAAUCGCAUGUGGUGCCUGGAACUCACCUUGGCUGGACCAUCGCCUUUCCAAGACCUGGCAGUUGGCUGAUUGGAUUAUUGGAUGCACCAGGCAUAUGGAGCAGCUUUGGCAUGUGGAUAAGUUGUUAUGCACUGUCUGGUGUACUUGGAAAGGCUGACAGUGUGUCUGGAGGCUAUAGGGUGGGGCACAUAGCCCCUCCCCUCUGGAACAUCCUCCCUCCUGAGAUUAGAAUUGUCCGGAUCCUAUUGGCCUUUCAGAAGACCUUCAAGAUCUGGUUCUGGGUUUUCAGUUCCGAGUGUGUGAAGUCCCCAUUGCAGUGAUGGGUUGCUACCGGUUUGCCCCGGAUCGGACGAACUGGUAGCGGUGGUGGCAGGAGGCUCUGCCCACCUGCCCAGACAUCUCUGCGCAUGCACAGAAGCAAGCGCACCCACGACCACGAGCAAACCGGUAGCGACAGAUUUGAAACCCACUACUUUGCCCCAUUGAUGUUAACAACUAUGGAUUAAAUUAUCUUCUGGUUGCUCUUUGUAUUUGUUUGUGUGUUCUGUUUUUAAGUUGUUCAAAUUAUUUCACGAUUGUUUCCUGCUCAGAAUCAUUUGUUUCAGAUGGAUGGCUAUACGAACUGAAUAAAUAA
Molecule: long non-coding RNA, 1730 nt
Organism: Ahaetulla prasina
Lineage: Eukaryota; Metazoa; Chordata; Lepidosauria; Squamata; Colubridae
Exons: 8
Source: RefSeq, a predicted model, not a curated record